UGAACUGCUCACGCUAACGAGCUCCACCUGCCCGGGUUUAUUGUUCGGAGUUUGCUCUCCUAGGUGAACUGCUCACGCUAACGAGCUCCACCUGCCCGGGUUUAUUGUUCGGAGUUUGCUCUCCUAGGUGAACUGCUCACGCUAACGAGCUCCACCUGCCCGGGUUUAUUGUUCGGAGUUUGCUCUCCUAGGUGAACUGCUCACGCUAACGAGCUCCACCUGCCCGGGUUUGUUGUUCGGAGUUUGCUCUCCUAGGUGAACUGCCUACCACGGCUAACGACCUCCACCUGCCCGGGUUUGUUUAGAGUUUGCUCUCCUAGGUGAAUUGCCUACCACGGCUAACGACCUCCACCUGCCCGGGUUUAUUGUUCGGAGUUUGCUCUCCUAGGCAGAUUGCCUACCACGGCUAACGAGCUCCACCUGCCCGGGUUUGUAGCCGGAAGAUCUCCGGCACCUCCGUCGGGGCCCCGAGGGACGCCGAGGAGCCCUGCCUGGAGCCCUCCAGUCCUGCCAUGCUCGCCAGGGAGACCUUGGGCUCGCUGGCGCUCCACACCCCCGCCGAGGCGAGGAUGCAAGAACUCGCUUCUUAAAACUACCAGACUGGAUUAUAAAAUUAAUCAUAAUUACUGUGAAGGCGCCGGUCACCGCGUUUAUCGGUUCAGGGAUGGAAGACCGACGGGCCUGGGAAACGCGCACAAGCAUCCAAAGGAA
Molecule: long non-coding RNA, 711 nt
Organism: Eriocheir sinensis (Chinese mitten crab)
Lineage: Eukaryota; Metazoa; Arthropoda; Malacostraca; Decapoda; Varunidae
Exons: 3
Source: RefSeq, a predicted model, not a curated record